GGGGGGGGGGGGGGGGGGGGGGGGGGGGGGGGGGGGGGGGGGGGGGGGGGGGGGGGGGGGCUGUGACGGGGGGCGGGGGGCGGGCGGGUGGGGGAGGGAUGGGACUCUACUUUUUGGGGGGGGAUAACGUAGGGACACUUACGCUAAUACCGCAUACGGCCUCCGGGUGAAAGCAGGGGCUCUUCGGACCUUGCGCGCUGGAAUGAGCCGAUGUCGGAUUGGCUAGUUGGCGGGGUAAAGGCCCACCAAGGCGACGAUCCGUAGCUGGUCUGAGAGGAUGAUCAGCCACACUGGACCUGAGACACGGUCCAGACUCCUACGGGAGGCAGCAGUGGGGAAUAUGGGACAAUGGGCGCAAGCCUGAUCCAGCCAUACCGCGUGGGUGAAGAAGGCCUUCGGGUUGUAAAGCCCUUUUGUUGGGAAAGAAAAGCAGCAGGUUAAUACACCGCUGUUCUGACGGUACCCAAAGAAUAAGCACCGGCUAACUUCGUG
This 492-nucleotide ribosomal RNA is filed under the name uncultured bacterium. RNAcentral's name for it is "partial 16S ribosomal RNA". The stretch from base 51 to 492 matches the Rfam family "Bacterial small subunit ribosomal RNA", at positions 38 to 507 of the family's 1533-position model. The record is from RNAcentral.